GCUGGGUGCAAUGGUGCACACCUGUAAUCCCAGGGAUCUAGAGGCUGAGGCGGGAGGAUCACUAGUUCAAAGCCAACCUUAGGGACUUAGUGAGGCUCUAAGCAACUUAGUGAGACCCUGUCUCUU
This 126-nucleotide small RNA is filed under the name Marmota monax (woodchuck). Lineage: Eukaryota; Metazoa; Chordata; Mammalia; Rodentia; Sciuridae. The record is from RNAcentral.